This 549-nucleotide ribosomal RNA is filed under the name uncultured bacterium. Its description in RNAcentral is "bacterial SSU rRNA". It matches the Rfam family "Bacterial small subunit ribosomal RNA", at positions 355 to 895 of the family's 1533-position model. The record is from RNAcentral.
UAGGGAAUCUUCGGCAAUGGACGGAAGUCUGACCGAGCAACGCCGCGUGAGUGAAGAAGGUUUUCGGAUCGUAAAGCUCUGUUGUAAGAGAAGAACGAGUGUGAGAGUGGAAAGUUCACACUGUGACGGUAUCUUACCAGAAAGGGACGGCUAACUACGUGCCAGCAGCCGCGGUAAUACGUAGGUCCCGAGCGUUAUCCGGAUUUAUUGGGCGUAAAGCGAGCGCAGGCGGUUAGAUAAGUCUGAAGUUAAAGGCUGUGGCUUAACCAUAGUACGCUUUGGAAACUGUUUAACUUGAGUGCAAGAGGGGAGAGUGGAAUUCCAUGUGUAGCGGUGAAAUGCGUAGAUAUAUGGAGGAACACCGGUGGCGAAAGCGGCUCUCUGGCUUGUAACUGACGCUGAGGCUCGAAAGCGUGGGGAGCAAACAGGAUUAGAUACCCUGGUAGUCCACGCCGUAAACGAUGAGUGCUAGGUGUUGGGUCCUUUCCGGGACUCAGUGCCGCAGCUAACGCGUUAAGCACUCCGCCUGGGGAGUACGACCGCAAGGUU